GGGGCCGACUGGGGAAGGGGCCGGGAAGAGCUGAGGGCGCACUAGGCGCCGCGCAGAGGCGCCUUUGAGUCGGCAGCCGCGGAGCCAGCGCACGGGCAUCGGCGGGACCCGGCGGACGGAAAGGCGGAGUGGGGGUCUUUGGACUGCACGACUAUAAUUUCAUGUGUGUGAAAUUCAAGGGGAAAAAGGAAACAAUACAUAAUCCAGCAUCACCAGUGUCACACUUCAGGACCUGAUGAAAUGUUUUAUCUUCUGAAAAGCUUUCCUGGCUCAGAUGAGGUGACUCAUGUCAGCCUACACAAAGGCUUCUUCAUAUACUAGAAUUUCUACUAUAAUUUUUCAGCCUUUCCACAAAACAAGUCUUACCAUAAUCCAGCAACAGAGCAAAAGAGAAGUCAAUGAUGAGAAGCUUGAUAAUGUAAAGGUUUAGUUCUAAGUCUGUAGCUUCUCAUGGAUCGUGCAAAGCACCACCAGGACAGACAUCUCAAGCACAUUUGAAGAGCUCCUGUUUCCUAAGUAAGACAGCAGCAGCAAGACUGCAAUCAUUUCUGGGAAGGCAGUAUCAUCAUAAUGCAAUAUUAGCUACUGUGAUCUUCUAUCAUUUCCUUCCUGGAGAGUUAUGACUGUGGCAUUGAAGAUUUAAGACCUACAGCCUCAACACUACUUACUACAAAUCUCUCACAAAGCUGCUGCAAUAAAUCUCGUGGAGGAAAGUCAUUGCAUAAAAAAAUCCUCAACUCCAGGGAGUUGGCCAUUUAUUUUCCUAGAAAAGGGGCUGUGAUGAGAGACACUCCAUGCUCCUUUAACUCCAUGGAACAGAACCCAACAAAACAUUCAUCAUGGAAAGUUGACUGAUGGGCCCAGUGAGACUAGCUGGGGAAGGAAGAUGGAAAGAGAAGUGCCCCAUCCAAGGCCUGCUCCUUUUCCUAGCUGCAGCCCGGAGGGAUUUCCUCUUAGCUUGAGGAUUGACUUUCCAUAGAAUCAGCACCACUGAGGGUAAGCUUCCCUGAAGACAAACUCUGUCAUUGGAGAGCUCAGCCAGGGGUCUAAAACUGGACCCUAUGGACUCCACAGAUUUAUUUAGUCUGCACAGUGUUUAAAAAUGUUUUUAGUUAGGGCCAGGCAUGGUGGCUCCCACCUGUAAUCCCAGCACUUUGAG
RNAcentral lists this long non-coding RNA (1159 nucleotides) under Homo sapiens (human). RNAcentral describes it as "HSALNT0354215". Lineage: Eukaryota; Metazoa; Chordata; Mammalia; Primates; Hominidae. The record is from RNAcentral.